Molecule: ribosomal RNA, 1580 nt
Filed under: Limosilactobacillus fermentum
Lineage: Bacteria; Bacillati; Bacillota; Bacilli; Lactobacillales; Lactobacillaceae
Description: bacterial SSU rRNA
Rfam family: Bacterial small subunit ribosomal RNA
Source: RNAcentral
UUUAUAUGAGAGUUUGAUCCUGGCUCAGGAUGAACGCCGGCGGUGUGCCUAAUACAUGCAAGUCGAACGCGUUGGCCCAAUUGAUUGAUGGUGCUUGCACCUGAUUGAUUUUGGUCGCCAACGAGUGGCGGACGGGUGAGUAACACGUAGGUAACCUGCCCAGAAGCGGGGGACAACAUUUGGAAACAGAUGCUAAUACCGCAUAACAGCGUUGUUCGCAUGAACAACGCUUAAAAGAUGGCUUCUCGCUAUCACUUCUGGAUGGACCUGCGGUGCAUUAGCUUGUUGGUGGGGUAACGGCCUACCAAGGCGAUGAUGCAUAGCCGAGUUGAGAGACUGAUCGGCCACAAUGGGACUGAGACACGGCCCAUACUCCUACGGGAGGCAGCAGUAGGGAAUCUUCCACAAUGGGCGCAAGCCUGAUGGAGCAACACCGCGUGAGUGAAGAAGGGUUUCGGCUCGUAAAGCUCUGUUGUUAAAGAAGAACACGUAUGAGAGUAACUGUUCAUACGUUGACGGUAUUUAACCAGAAAGUCACGGCUAACUACGUGCCAGCAGCCGCGGUAAUACGUAGGUGGCAAGCGUUAUCCGGAUUUAUUGGGCGUAAAGAGAGUGCAGGCGGUUUUCUAAGUCUGAUGUGAAAGCCUUCGGCUUAACCGGAGAAGUGCAUCGGAAACUGGAUAACUUGAGUGCAGAAGAGGGUAGUGGAACUCCAUGUGUAGCGGUGGAAUGCGUAGAUAUAUGGAAGAACACCAGUGGCUAAGGCGGCUACCUGGUCUGCAACUGACGCUGAGACUCGAAAGCAUGGGUAGCGAACAGGAUUAGAUACCCUGGUAGUCCAUGCCGUAAACGAUGAGUGCUAGGUGUUGGAGGGUUUCCGCCCUUCAGUGCCGGAGCUAACGCAUUAAGCACUCCGCCUGGGGAGUACGACCGCAAGGUUGAAACUCAAAGGAAUUGACGGGGGCCCGCACAAGCGGUGGAGCAUGUGGUUUAAUUCGAAGCUACGCGAAGAACCUUACCAGGUCUUGACAUCUUGCGCCAACCCUAGAGAUAGGGCGUUUCCUUCGGGAACGCAAUGACAGGUGGUGCAUGGUCGUCGUCAGCUCGUGUCGUGAGAUGUUGGGUUAAGUCCCGCAACGAGCGCAACCCUUGUUACUAGUUGCCAGCAUUAAGUUGGGCACUCUAGUGAGACUGCCGGUGACAAACCGGAGGAAGGUGGGGACGACGUCAGAUCAUCAUGCCCCUUAUGACCUGGGCUACACACGUGCUACAAUGGACGGUACAACGAGUCGCGAACUCGCGAGGGCAAGCAAAUCUCUUAAAACCGUUCUCAGUUCGGACUGCAGGCUGCAACUCGCCUGCACGAAGUCGGAAUCGCUAGUAAUCGCGGAUCAGCAUGCCGCGGUGAAUACGUUCCCGGGCCUUGUACACACCGCCCGUCACACCAUGAGAGUUUGUAACACCCAAAGUCGGUGGGGUAACCUUUUAGGAGCCAGCCGCCUAAGGUGGGACAGAUGAUUAGGGUGAAGUCGUAACAAGGUAGCCGUAGGAGAACCUGCGGCUGGAUCACCUCCUUUCUA